AAGUACACCACCUUACCUAAAGGAUCCAUAUUAGUACCUCAAAGGUACAUAUUAAUACCAAAUGUCAUACCUAAAUGGUACAUAUUAGGACCUUUAUAAAGGGUAAGAAAUCCUCCAAAGAGGAAAUCUGACCUGUUGUACAAAUGAGAUAACAAUGUCUAAUAUGCUUAUUGAAUAAGUGUCUUUUGGACCCCAUUGAAAAAUCAUCAGAAUUUAUCAGCACUUCCAUCUCCCACCACCAGAUGGCGGUGCUGACUAUAAGGCGUAACGAGUAAAGUCGAACCCUAAAUAUGGCUGCACCCACAAAACAGAGAUCACGACGAGUGCAUCCCAAAAAAUUGUACAUUGUGAUUUCUGUAUGGUAUGCUUGAAAAUUUUGAAUGUUUAUCAAAAGGUGAAGUUAAUAUCGACACAACAGAAGAACUGAAGUUUGCUGAUGUCUUCCUUGUUCUGUAAAGUCCCUCCUUCAGAAAUACGUAACAAGUUCUGAUUGUGUUGCUGGUCCAGUGUGUUGGGAUUCGACAGCAGCUUAGCUCACGUUGUAUUCCUGUGGGCAGAGAUUCUUUUACCAAGAAAAGAGGAAAUCUCCCCGAGGCCGAUUGGGUCCACUAUUCCAAACUACCCCGCCGAGUAAAGACGCGUUCAGGCAUUCGGGUGGAGAGAGGCGCCGCUGGACCUCGCCGACCGUCACUUUAUAUUUUGAUGUGGAGCUGAGAAGCGACAGGCGACCGGGCACCGAGCAGAAG
This is a non-coding RNA of Misgurnus anguillicaudatus (oriental weatherfish), 746 nucleotides long. The record is from RefSeq and is a predicted model, not a curated record. NCBI's taxonomy places the organism in Eukaryota, Metazoa, Chordata, Actinopteri, Cypriniformes, Cobitidae.